GCUUGAAAGACAGUGAAUUAUAAUUCAUUGAUUUUCACUGGUAAAUGCGUUCUUUUUACAAAGGAAUUCUAAGUCAAAGUGUGACACCUGUAUAAAUUGAGUUGAUAAAACAUAAGGACGUGACAAGGAUUUGAGAUCUACAUACGAAAGUUAUUAUUAUUCUCCCACAAGAGCCCCUUUUAAGUGUAAUGUGCGCACGUACAUUAUCGCAUGCACAAUAUAAAAAUGGAUGGAUUUCUUCUUUGUGUGUUUGUCUACCUGUGUGCAAUUGGAAUAGUUUUAUGUAAAACAGAAAAGUUUAGUUGCCAUGAAUGUCGAUCAGAUAAGCAGCCAUUGUGUGCAGAUGAAUUUGGAGGAAGGGAUAACAAAUUCCUGAAACCUUGUAACAUGUCGGACGAAAAUAUGACUGUUUCCUGCAGAAAAGAGGUUAACAAGGUUCAACCGUAUAAGGGGACAAUUAUUAUCCGAAGCUGUUACUAUACUGAAGGAUUCAGACCGAAAGAAGAAUUAGAUGUUUAUGGUGCAACUUACUGGAAUUGUUUUGAUUACGGGUGUAAUGGACAGCAAUCAGUGAAAUCUACAUUUAGUUUGAUAGGAUUCAUAAUAACAAUUUAUAAUAUUUUGUGUUGAAUUGCGAUACCAACAUAUUUCAUUGAUGCAAUGUUUUAUUUUAUGUUCAGUGGAGAGUAUUACGCGAAAGCUUAUUUUUUAAAGUUCAUCGGGGAGUAUAACGUGAAAGCUUGCUUAUGAUUAUUUUCGUAUAUGUUGCUGCUAUCAACUUUUAUGUGCUGCUGCAAACUAUAAUGUGCUGCUGUAGACUAUAAUGUGCUACUGUAAACUAUAGAUGGUUUAUGAUAUUUUGUUGCUGUCGCCAGGCCGAGUAAAGCUUGUUCAAUAUUAUAGAGUUAGGAAAGUUGUUUAUCAUUCCAAUGUUUUUUAUACAUUCAACAUGUAGCAUGAGGUGGCAAUAUUAAAAAAAAUGUAAAAAAUAUAAGUUAAUUUUAUUAGUUCUAUACAUAUACAACUGUCUACCUUAUUAUGAUUAAA
Mytilus californianus (California mussel) is the source of this 1047-nucleotide long non-coding RNA. RefSeq lists it as uncharacterized. The record is from RefSeq and is a predicted model, not a curated record. The transcript is spliced from 3 exons. Lineage: Eukaryota; Metazoa; Mollusca; Bivalvia; Mytilida; Mytilidae.